This is a small nuclear RNA of Hyla sarda, 188 nucleotides long. RefSeq annotates it as U2 spliceosomal RNA. The record is from RefSeq and is a predicted model, not a curated record. The transcript has a single exon. NCBI's taxonomy places the organism in Eukaryota, Metazoa, Chordata, Amphibia, Anura, Hylidae.
CUCGCUUCUCGGCCUUUUGGCUAAUAUCAAGUGUAGUAUCUGUUCUUAUCAGUUUCAUGCCGGUGUGGGGCAGGUUGGGAUGGGUGCUGCAUGGAGGGGGCAGGUGUACCGGGGUGUUCCGGGGCUGGUGCCACAACACCAGCUCAAUGGCUGUCCUGAUGUGACCUGUGUCCUCUGGGUCUCGCCAU